Molecule: ribosomal RNA, 465 nt
Filed under: uncultured bacterium
Lineage: Bacteria
Description: partial 16S ribosomal RNA
Rfam family: Bacterial small subunit ribosomal RNA
Source: RNAcentral
GAUGAACGCUGGCGGCGUGCUUAACACAUGCAAGUCGAACGGAAAGGCUCCUGCUUGCAGGGGUACUCGAGUGGCGAACGGGUGAGUAACACGUGGGUGAUCUGCCCUGCACUUCGGGAUAAGCCUGGGAAACUGGGUCUAAUACCGGAUAGGACGAUGGUUUGGAUGCCAUUGUGGAAAGUUUUUCGGUGUGGGAUGAGCUCGCGGCCUAUCAGCUUGUUGGUGGGGUAAUGGCCUACCAAGGCGUCGACGGGUAGCCGGCCUGAGAGGGUGUACGGCCACAUUGGGACCGAGAUACGGCCCAGACUCCUACGGGAGGCAGCAGUGGGGAAUAUUGCACAAUGGGCGCAAGCCUGAUGCAGCGACGCCGCGUGGGGGAUGACGGCCUUCGGGUUGUAAACUCCUUUCGCUAGGGACGAAGCGCAAGUGACGGUACCUGGAGAAGAAGCACCGGCUAACUACGUG